RNAcentral lists this transfer RNA (72 nucleotides) under Camelus bactrianus (Bactrian camel). It matches the Rfam family "tRNA". Rfam says of the family: Transfer RNA (tRNA) molecules are approximately 80 nucleotides in length. Their secondary structure includes four short double-helical elements and three loops (D, anti-codon, and T loops). Further hydrogen bonds mediate the characteristic L-shaped molecular structure. tRNAs have two regions of fundamental functional importance: the anti-codon, which is responsible for specific mRNA codon recognition, and the 3' end, to which the tRNAs corresponding amino acid is attached (by aminoacyl-tRNA synthetases). tRNAs cope with the degeneracy of the genetic code in two manners: having more than one tRNA (with a specific anti-codon) for a particular amino acid; and 'wobble' base-pairing, i.e. permitting non-standard base-pairing at the 3rd anti-codon position. The record is from Rfam by way of RNAcentral. RNAcentral also lists the same sequence under 2 other names. Lineage: Eukaryota; Metazoa; Chordata; Mammalia; Artiodactyla; Camelidae.
GGGGGUGUAGCUCAGCAGUACAGUGCAUGCUUAACAUGCACGAGGUCCUGGGUUCAAUCCCCAGGAUCUCCA